RNAcentral lists this ribosomal RNA (253 nucleotides) under uncultured bacterium. Its description in RNAcentral is "partial 16S ribosomal RNA". It matches the Rfam family "Bacterial small subunit ribosomal RNA", at positions 524 to 776 of the family's 1533-position model. The record is from RNAcentral.
UACAGAGGGUGCAAACGUUGCUCGGAAUUAUUGGGCGUAAAGCGCACGUAGGCGGCCAUGUAAGUCAGGAGUGAAAGCCCUCGGCUUAACCGGGGAAGUGCUUUUGAAACUGCAUGGCUUGAAUACUGAAGAGGGUCGCGGAAUUCCCGGUGUAGAGGUGAAAUUCGUAGAUAUCGGGAGGAACACCAGUGGCGAAGGCGGCGACCUGGGCAGAUAUUGACGCUGAGGUGCGAAAGCGUGGGGAGCAAACAGG